This 460-nucleotide ribosomal RNA is filed under the name uncultured bacterium. RNAcentral describes it as "partial 16S ribosomal RNA". It matches the Rfam family "Bacterial small subunit ribosomal RNA", at positions 338 to 795 of the family's 1533-position model. The record is from RNAcentral.
CCUACGGGAGGCAGCAGUGAGGAAUAUUGGUCAAUGGACGAGAGUCUGAACCAGCCAAGUAGCGUGAAGGAUGACUGCCCUAUGGGUUGUAAACUUCUUUUAUAAAGGAAUAAAACGAGGCACGUGUGCCUUUUUGCAUGUACUUUAUGAAUAAGGAUCGGCUAACUCCGUGCCAGCAGCCGCGGUAAUACGGAGGAUCCGAGCGUUAUCCGGAUUUAUUGGGUUUAAAGGGAGCGUAGAUGGGUUGUUAAGUCAGUUGUGAAAGUUUUCGGCUCAACCGUAAAAUUGCAAUUGAUACUGGCAGUCGUGAGUACAGUUGAGGUAGGCGGAAUUCGUGGUGUAGCGGUGAAAUGCUUAGAUAUCACGAAGAACCCCGAUUGCGAAGGCAGCUUACUAAACUGUGACUGACAUUGAUGCUCGAAAGUGUGGGUAUCAAACAGGAUUAGAUACCCCUGUAGUC